RNAcentral lists this ribosomal RNA (821 nucleotides) under Engystomops petersi (Peters' dwarf frog). RNAcentral's name for it is "partial large subunit ribosomal RNA". It matches the Rfam family "Bacterial large subunit ribosomal RNA", at positions 1518 to 2570 of the family's 2925-position model. The record is from RNAcentral. Lineage: Eukaryota; Metazoa; Chordata; Amphibia; Anura; Leptodactylidae.
UACUAUUAUUUACAAUGAACCCUUUAUUUUUACUGAAUAUUUCUAUAAAGUUAUAGAACCUUUUAUGUUGAAACUAGUAACAAGAAGUUAAACUUCUCCUCAAUAUAAGUAUAAGUCGACUAGGAUAAACCAUCGACAAUUAACGCUUAAAUUAAAUGUAUUAACUCCACAAGAAAAACUUACAUUACCCCACGUUAAUCUUACACCAGAACAUUUAAGGAAAGAUUUAAAAAAAAGGAAGGAACUCGGCAAACAUUAACCCCGCCUGUUUACCAAAAACAUCGCCUUCUGAUAUAUUAUAGAAGGUCCAGCCUGCCCAGUGAAUUAAUUUAACGGCCGCGGUAUCCUAACCGUGCGAAGGUAGCGUAAUCACUUGUUCUUUAAAUGAGGACUAGUAUGAAUGGCACCACGAAGGUUAUACUGUCUCCCUUUUUUGAUCAGUUAAACUAAUCUUCACGUGAAGAAGCGUGAAUAAACAUAUAAGACGAGAAGACCCUAUGGAGCUUAAAAUUACACAACAAUUGUUAAAAAAAUCCUAAAUUUUAUAAAUAAUUUUUUACUAAACACCAUGAUUGCUAAUUUUUGGUUGGGGUGACCGCGGAGUAAAAAUUAACCUCCACAAUGAAAGAAAUCAAUAUUCUAAACUAAGAGCUACAACUCAAAGUAUUAAUAUUUUAACAUUCUUUGAUCCAAUAUUUGAUCAACGAACAAAGUUACCCUAGGGAUAACAGCGCAAUCUACUUUGAGAGCUCCUAUCGACAAGUAGGUUUACGACCUCGAUGUUGGAUCAGGGUAUCCUAGUGGUGCAGCCGCUACUAAUG